RNAcentral lists this ribosomal RNA (501 nucleotides) under Bonneviella regia. RNAcentral describes it as "partial 16S ribosomal RNA". It matches the Rfam family "Bacterial large subunit ribosomal RNA", at positions 1884 to 2540 of the family's 2925-position model. The record is from RNAcentral. Lineage: Eukaryota; Metazoa; Cnidaria; Hydrozoa; Leptothecata; Campanulariidae.
GGUUUUAAAUUAUAAAGAAUAAAAUCCUUGUAAUAAAACUAAAAGGACGCGGUAACCUUGACCGUGAUAAUGUAGCAUAAUCACUCGCCAUUUAAUUGAUGGAUAGUAUGAAUGGUUGAACGAAUAUUUCACUGUCUUAAAAAAAAACAAAUAAAAUUAAAAUAAUAGUUAAGAUGCUAUUUUAAACUGUAAGACGAAAAGACCCUAUAGAGCUUAACUAUAAUUUUCUUUAAAAAUAAAAAAUAAUAUUUUUUAAUUAAGAAAAUUGGUAGUUUAGUUGGGGCGACUACCUUCUAUAUAGAACGAAGGUAAGCAAAGUUAAUAAAAAACUUAUUAUAUAAGUAAAAUAUUUAAUAAUUACAAAAGUAGGCUAUAGUGACCCGUUAGUUUCUAAUAAAAAAUCUAACGAUCAAUUAAUAAAAGCUACCUUAGGGAUAACAGGAUAAUUUCAUUCUAGAGUUCAUAUCGAAGAUGAAGUUUGUCACCUCUAUGUUGAAUUAA